CCUACGGGGGGCAGCAGUGAGGAAUAUUGGUCAAUGGACGAGAGUCUGAACCAGCCAAGUAGCGUGAAGGAUGACUGCUCUAUGGGUUGUAAACUUCUUUUAUAUGGGAAUAAAAUGUUCCUCGUGUGGGAGUUUGUAUGUACUAAAUGCAUAAGGAUCGGCUAACUCCGUGCUAGCAGCCGCGGUAAUACGGAGGAUACGAGCGUUAUCCGGAUUUAUUGGGUUUAAAGGGAGCGUAGGUGGAUUGUUAAGUCAGUUGUGAAAGUGUGCGGCUCAACCGUGAAAUUGGAUUUGAAACUGGCAGUCUUGAGUACAGUAGAGGUGGGUGGAAUUCGUGGUGUAGCGGUGAAAUG
RNAcentral lists this ribosomal RNA (353 nucleotides) under uncultured bacterium. Its description in RNAcentral is "partial 16S ribosomal RNA". It matches the Rfam family "Bacterial small subunit ribosomal RNA", at positions 338 to 688 of the family's 1533-position model. The record is from RNAcentral.